RNAcentral lists this microRNA (19 nucleotides) under Carica papaya (papaya). RNAcentral's name for it is "cpa-miR8155". The record is from miRBase by way of RNAcentral. Lineage: Eukaryota; Viridiplantae; Streptophyta; Magnoliopsida; Brassicales; Caricaceae.
UAACCUGGCUCUGAUACCA